CCUACGGGAGGCAGCAGUGGGGAAUAUUGGGCAAUGGACGAAACUCUGACCCAGCAACGCCGCGUGAAGGAUGAAGGUUUUCGGAUUGUAAACUUCUGUCGCGAGGGAUGAAGAAUGACGGUACCACGUAAGAAACACCCGGCUAACCACGUGGCAGCAGCCGCGGUAAUACGUAGGGGGCAAGCGUUAUCCGGAAUUACUGGGUGGAAAGGGAACGUAGGCGGCAGGGCAAGUCCGGAGUGAAAGCCCGGGGCUCAACCUGGGAACUGCACUGGAUACUGUAAAGCUGGAGUGCGGGAGGGGCAGGUGGAAUUCCUGGUGUAGCGGUGAAAUGCGUAGAGAUCAGGAGGAACACCGGUGGCGAAGGCGGCCUACUGGACCGUAACUGACGUUGAGGUGCGAAAGCGUGGGGAGCAAACAGGAUUAGAUACCCGAGUAGUC
RNAcentral lists this ribosomal RNA (441 nucleotides) under uncultured bacterium. RNAcentral's name for it is "partial 16S ribosomal RNA". It matches the Rfam family "Bacterial small subunit ribosomal RNA", at positions 338 to 795 of the family's 1533-position model. The record is from RNAcentral.